This 1100-nucleotide ribosomal RNA is filed under the name uncultured bacterium. RNAcentral's name for it is "bacterial SSU rRNA". It matches the Rfam family "Bacterial small subunit ribosomal RNA", at positions 29 to 1148 of the family's 1533-position model. The record is from RNAcentral.
AUCAACGCUGGCGGCGUGCCUAACACAUGCAAGUCGAACGAGAAAGUGGGAGCAAUCCUGCAAGUACAGUGGCGUACGGGUGAGUAACACGUGACUAACCUACCCUCGAGUGGGGAAUAACCUCGGGAAACCGGGGCUAAUACCGUAUAACAUCUACGGAUCAAAUGCGCAAGCAGCUUGAGGAGGGGGUCGCGGCUGAUUAGCUAGUUGGCGGGGUAACGGCCCACCAAGGCAAUGAUCAGUAGCCGGCCUGAGAGGGCGCACGGCCACACUGGAACUGAAACCACGGUCCAGACUCCUACGGGAGGCAGCAGUGGGGAAUUUUGCGCAAUGGGGGAAACCCUGACGCAGCAACGCCGCGUGGAGGAUGAAGCCCCUUGGGGUGUAAACUCCUUUCGAUCGGGACGAUUAUAAAAGAAACCGGAUGAAGAAGCACCGGCUAACUCUGUGCCAGCAGCCGCGGUAAUACAGAGGGUGCAAGCGUUGUUCGGAAUUAUUGGGCGUAAAGGGUGCGUAGGCGGUGCGGUAAGUCUUCUGUGAAAUCUCCGGGCUCAACCCGGAGCCUGCAGAGGAAACUGCCGUGCUGGAGUAUGGGAGAAGAUGAGUGGAAUUCCCGGUUGUAGCGGUGAAAUGCGUAAGAUAUCGGGAGGAACCACCUGGUGGCGAAAGCGGCUCACUGGACCAUUACUGACCGCUGAUGCACGAAAGCUAGGGGAGCAAACAGGAUUAGAUACCCUGGUAGUCCUAGCCCUAAACUGAUGAUCGCUCCAUGUGACAGGUACCCAAUCCUGUCUUGUGCCGGAGCUAACGCGUUAAGCGAUCCGCCUGGAGAUUACGGUCGCAAGGCUGAAACUCAAAGGAAUUGACGGGGGCCCGCACAAGCGGUGGAGCAUGUGGUUCAAUUCGACGCAACGCGAAGAACCUUACCUGGGCUCGAAGCGUAGUGGACUGAGGUAGAAAUAUCUCUUUCCCGCAAGGGACUGCUACGUAGGUGCUGCAUGGCUGUCGUCAGCUCGUGUCGUGAGAUGUUGGGUUAAGUCCCGCAACGAGCGCAACCCUUAUUGUCAGUUGCCACCAUUCAGUUGGGCACUCUGGCGAAA